CUUGGUCAUUUAGAGGAAGUAAAAGUCGUAACAAGGUACUGGUAGGUGUUCCUGCCAGUGGAUCAUUACUAUGGGCUACGGCCCUUAAGAUAUCAACCCUGACUUUUGGAAGUACCGUCCGUUUCCUCGGCAGGCCCGCCUGCCAGCGAGGACCCUUUAAAACCUUUCAAUCGUAGCAGUGUUUGUCUGAAAAAUACGCAAAUGAAUUAAAACUUUCAACAAUGGAUCUCUUGAUUCCGGCUUCGAUGAAGAACGCAGCGAAAUGCGAUAACUAGUGUGAAUUGYAGAAUUCAGUGAAUCAUCGAGUCUUUGAACGCACAUUGCGCCCAAGGGCACUCCUUUGGGCAUGCCUGUUCGAGCGUCAUCUAAACCCUUCAAGCCCAGCUUGGCGAUGGGCGCCUGUCCGCCGCGUGCGGACCCGCCCCAAAUAUAUUGGCAGCCGGCCGACCCGCCCCGAAGCGCAGCAGAAGCGCGCGUCGCGAGGCGGGCGCCGGCGCUCCAGCGAGCGAACACCACCCCAUUUGACCUCGAAUCAGGCAGGGAUACCCGCUGAACUUAAGCAUAUCAAUAAGCGGAGGA
This 579-nucleotide ribosomal RNA is filed under the name uncultured fungus. RNAcentral's name for it is "eukaryotic LSU rRNA". The stretch from base 211 to 364 matches the Rfam family "5.8S ribosomal RNA". The record is from RNAcentral. Lineage: Eukaryota; Fungi.